UGCGCAGAAACCUGGGCUCAGAGUGAA
This 27-nucleotide non-coding RNA is filed under the name Mus musculus (house mouse). The record is from RNAcentral. Lineage: Eukaryota; Metazoa; Chordata; Mammalia; Rodentia; Muridae.